ACGUAGGGAGCGAGCGUUGUCCGGAAUUACUGGGUGUAAAGGGAGCGUAGGCGGGAUGGCAAGUCAGAUGUGAAAACUAUGGGCUCAACCCAUAGACUGCAUUUGAAACUGCUGUUCUUGAGUGAGGUAGAGGUAAGCGGAAUUCCUGGUGUAGCGGUGAAAUGCGUAGAGAUCAGGAGGAACAUCGGUGGCGAAGGCGGCUUACUGGGCCUUUACUGACGCUGAGGCUCGAAAGCGUGGGGAGCAAACAG
RNAcentral lists this ribosomal RNA (251 nucleotides) under uncultured bacterium. RNAcentral describes it as "partial 16S ribosomal RNA". It matches the Rfam family "Bacterial small subunit ribosomal RNA", at positions 525 to 775 of the family's 1533-position model. The record is from RNAcentral.